Prolemur simus (greater bamboo lemur) is the source of this 107-nucleotide small nuclear RNA. The record is from Ensembl. Lineage: Eukaryota; Metazoa; Chordata; Mammalia; Primates; Lemuridae.
AUGCUUGCUUCAGCAGAACAUAUACUAAAAUUGGAAUGAUACACGGAACAUUAACAUGGUCACUGUGCAAGGGUGACACACAAAUUUGUAAAGUGUUCCAUAUUAAA